Molecule: ribosomal RNA, 429 nt
Filed under: Pseudomonadota bacterium
Lineage: Bacteria; Pseudomonadati; Pseudomonadota
Description: Proteobacteria bacterium partial 16S ribosomal RNA
Rfam family: Bacterial small subunit ribosomal RNA
Source: RNAcentral
UGGGGAAUAUUGGACAAUGGGCGAAAGCCUGAUCCAGCCAUGCCGCGUGUGUGAAGAAGGUCUUCGGAUUGUAAAGCACUUUAAGUUGGGAGGAAGGGCAGUAAGCGAAUACCUUGCUGUUUUGACGUUACCGACAGAAUAAGCACCGGCUAACUCUGUGCCAGCAGCCGCGGUAAUACAGAGGGUGCAAGCGUUAAUCGGAAUUACUGGGCGUAAAGCGCGCGUAGGUGGUUCGUUAAGUUGAAUGUGAAAGCCCCGGGCUCAACCUGGGAACUGCAUCCAAAACUGGCGAGCUAGGGUAGGGCAGAUGGUGGUGUAAUUUCCUGUGUAGCGGUGAAAUGCGUAGAUAUAGGAAGGAACACCAGUGGCGAAGGCGACCACCUGGGCUCAUACUGACACUGAGGUGCGAAAGCGUGGGGAGCAAACAGG